AGACCACCUGCCCUCAAAAGAUUUGUUUUCUAGAGAAACAAAGCAAAAUCUAGGUGCUGCAAGAAAAGUCACAGCCUUGGGGUUUCAGUGAAGAGACAGCCCAAAUGCUCUUGAAGUAGUCAGAAAAGUCUACAGGUGUGACUCCCUUAUGCCGCUCUCUCCUGCCAUUUGGGCAACAGCCAACUUCCGAGGCCAACCUUGUUUCUGGAGAAGCAUUCUUCCCACAUGGGAAAGGCAAGGAUGGUGCUGAGCCUGUCUGCCUCUGUGUUCCCUGGACAACUCCAUUCCAGUGCAAGAUUCUCAUGGUUGAAUUCAUAUUUUAAGUGCUGUUUGUGGGGUUUUGAGCAGUUGCCAUUCUGAGGAGGAGCAGAGGAGCAUGGCUUUGCCAAAG
Molecule: long non-coding RNA, 391 nt
Filed under: Homo sapiens (human)
Lineage: Eukaryota; Metazoa; Chordata; Mammalia; Primates; Hominidae
Description: non-protein coding lnc-TOX3-1:9
Source: RNAcentral